UUAUGGCUCAGGACGAACGCUGGCGGCGUGCCUAAUACAUGCAAGUCGAACGGUCUUUCUAUGGAAGCUUGCUUCCACUGAGAAGAUAGUGGCGAACGGGUGAGUAACACGUGGGUAACCUGCCCAUAAGAGGGGGAUAACAUCCGGAAACGGGUGCUAAUACCGCAUAGUUUUCUUGAUCGCAUGAUCGGGAAAGGAAAGACGGCCUUUGUGCUGUCGCUUAUGGAUGGACCCGCGGCGUAUUAGUUAGUUGGCGAGGUAACGGCUCACCAAGACGAUGAUACGUAGCCGACCUGAGAGGGUGAUCGGCCACAUUGGGACUGAGACACGGCCCAAACUCCUACGGGAGGCAGCAGUAGGGAAUCUUCCGCAAUGGACGAAAGUCUGACGGAGCAACGCCGCGUGAGUGAAAGAAGGUUUUCGGAUCGUAAAACUCUGUUGUCAGAGAAGAACAAGUUGGAGAGUAACUGCUCCAGCCUUGACGGUAUCUGACCAGAAAGCCACGGCUAACUACGUGCCAGCCGCCGC
RNAcentral lists this ribosomal RNA (528 nucleotides) under uncultured bacterium. Its description in RNAcentral is "bacterial SSU rRNA". It matches the Rfam family "Bacterial small subunit ribosomal RNA", at positions 17 to 518 of the family's 1533-position model. The record is from RNAcentral.